This 466-nucleotide ribosomal RNA is filed under the name Vreelandella stevensii. RNAcentral's name for it is "partial 16S ribosomal RNA". It matches the Rfam family "Bacterial small subunit ribosomal RNA", at positions 338 to 795 of the family's 1533-position model. The record is from RNAcentral. Lineage: Bacteria; Pseudomonadati; Pseudomonadota; Gammaproteobacteria; Oceanospirillales; Halomonadaceae.
CCUACGUGGGGCAGCAGUGGGGAAUAUUGGACAAUGGGCGAAAGCCUGAUCCAGCCAUGCCGCGUGUGUGAAGAAGGCCUUCGGGUUGUAAAGCACUUUCAGUGGGGAAGAAAGCCUUGGGGCUAAUACCCUCGAGGAAGGACAUCACCCACAGAAGAAGCACCGGCUAACUCCGUGCCAGCAGCCGCGGUAAUACGGAGGGUGCGAGCGUUAAUCGGAAUUACUGGGCGUAAAGCGCGCGUAGGCGGUCUGAUAAGCCGGUUUGUGAAAGCCCCGGGCUCAACCUGGGAACGGCAUCCGGAACUGACAGGCUAGAGUGCAGGAGAGGAAGGUAGAAUUCCCGGUGUAGCGGUGAAAUGCGUAGAGAUCGGGAGGAAUACCAGUGGCGAAGGCGGCCUUCUGGACUGACACUGACGCUGAGGUGCGAAAGCGUGGGUAGCAAACAGGAUUAGAUACCCCAGUAGUC